This 489-nucleotide ribosomal RNA is filed under the name Triticum aestivum (bread wheat). Its description in RNAcentral is "partial small subunit ribosomal RNA". Lineage: Eukaryota; Viridiplantae; Streptophyta; Magnoliopsida; Poales; Poaceae. The record is from RNAcentral.
AUGGAUCCUCCGUGCAAGCAGGCGGCGGAAUCGGGCUCCCGCGUCCCGGACGAGCUGCUGGAGGACAUCUUCGCGCGGAUGCCGGCCAAGUCGGUGCAGCGCUGCCGCUGCCUCUCCCGCGCCUGGGCUGCCGCGCUCUCCUCCAGCGCCUUCGUCGACCGCCACCUCCGCCUCGCCAACCGCCGGGACGGCUCCCGCAGCCUCUUCUUCCUCCCAGACCCCGACUCGGGCGACGACACCACGGUGCACGCGUGGUCGCCCCGCUGCCCCCUCGUCGCCGUCCGCCGAGACGAGCGCCUCCGCCGCGUCGCCGCCGUCACCCGCCAGUGCCGCGGCCUCGUCGUGCUGGAGGCCAAAGGGGAGAACCUGCCCUUGGCCUGCAACCCGGCCCGCGGGCACUGCAGCUACACGGUGGACCACUACGUCUACAACCCGUCCACCGGCCAGCAUCCAGAAGCACAAGGUGGUGCGCCUCUACUGCCGCGGUGA